This 372-nucleotide ribosomal RNA is filed under the name uncultured organism. RNAcentral's name for it is "bacterial SSU rRNA". It matches the Rfam family "Bacterial small subunit ribosomal RNA", at positions 526 to 896 of the family's 1533-position model. The record is from RNAcentral.
CGGGGGGGGCAAGCGUUGUUCGGAAUUACUGGGCGUAAAGGGCUCGUAGGCGGCCAACUAAGUCAGACGUGAAAUCCCCAGGCUCAACCUGGGAACUGCGUCUGAUACUGGUUGGCUUGAAUUCGGGAGAGGGAUGCAGAAUUCCAGGUGUAGCGGUGAAAUGCGUAGAUAUCUGGAGGAAUACCGGUGGCGAAGGCGGCAUCCUGGACCGACAUUGACGCUGAGGAGCGAAAGCUAGGGGAGCAAACGGGAUUAGAUACCCCGGUAGUCCUAGCCCUAAACGAUGAAUGCUUGGUGUGACGGGUAUCGAUCCCUGUCGUGCCGAAGCUAACGCAUUAAGCAUUCCGCCUGGGGAGUACGGUCGCAAGGCUG